AUUAUAUACUGAUACACUGACUCCAAUGCAACUGCAGAAUAAGAUAUCAAAGUGACGUAUGUAAAAGAAGCGUACAGUGUGUGUGUUAUUAUUAUUAUUUGUUGUUGUUUUCAUUUUUUCAUUGUAUUCUGUUAUUGCAGGACUGUGUCCAGGCCACUGUGCCUCAUCCACUGUCCACAUUCUCAACUUCUCUGCCAGGACAACUUCCACAACACCCGGCCUGAACCAGUACAACAUUAAGAAGUCUUCAGUCUGAAAACACAGUUUGAAGCAUGACAACCACGUAAGUGUAGAAUUCUUCUGUC
Molecule: long non-coding RNA, 305 nt
Filed under: Sinocyclocheilus anshuiensis
Lineage: Eukaryota; Metazoa; Chordata; Actinopteri; Cypriniformes; Cyprinidae
Description: lncRNA (ENSSANG00000043006.1)
Source: RNAcentral